RNAcentral lists this ribosomal RNA (585 nucleotides) under Geastrum entomophilum. RNAcentral describes it as "eukaryotic LSU rRNA". The stretch from base 180 to 334 matches the Rfam family "5.8S ribosomal RNA". Lineage: Eukaryota; Fungi; Basidiomycota; Agaricomycetes; Geastrales; Geastraceae. The record is from RNAcentral.
CAUUACUGAAGAUAUAGGGUUUUGAGACUGCGUCCUUAAAAUGGCGUGUGCUCGACUCUUACUCUUUUAUCCACACAUACCUUUGUGCACCAUGGGGGAACGUAAGUUCCCUCCUUUUCUUAUAUUACAAAUACCUAGUUUUUUUAUGCAUGUUUUAUGUGCUCUACGGAGUAAUGUACAACUUUCAACAACGGAUCUCUUGGCUUUCGCAUCGAUGAAGAACGCAGCGAACGUGCGAAACGUAAUGUGAAUUGCAGAAUUCAGUGAAUCAUCGAAUCUUUGAACGCAUCUUGCGCUCCUUGGUAUUCCGAGGAGCAUGCCUGUUUGAGUGUCGUGAACUACUCUCAAUUUCAAUUCUUUUCCUUUGGGAAAAGGAGCUGAAGUUGGAUUUGGAUGUUGCUGUGGAUGGUCACAACUCAUCUUAAAUGCAUUAGCGAUCUGUCCUUGAUCACGCACAAUGUGAUAAGAAAAGCAUUGUUAAAGAUCAAUGGUGAAGAUAGCUUCCAAUUGUCGAAAAGACAAAGCGUAAUAGCAUGUCAUUUGACCUCAAAUCAGGUAGGACUACCCGCUGAACUUAAGCAUAUC